CAGCCACUAUCCAAACUGUCCAC
This 23-nucleotide microRNA is filed under the name Daphnia pulex (common water flea). Its description in RNAcentral is "Dpu-Mir-34_3p* (star (passenger))". Lineage: Eukaryota; Metazoa; Arthropoda; Branchiopoda; Diplostraca; Daphniidae. The record is from RNAcentral. RNAcentral also lists the same sequence under 1 other name.